AUCAUCAUCAUCGUGAUCAUUAUCGUGUCAUGAUCGUUGUCAUCAUCAUCGUGUCAUCAUCGUUGUCAUCAUCAUCAUCGUGAUCGUCAUCAUCGUGGUCAUCGUCAUCUUCCCACUUUGUUCGGUAAAACAAGCCGGGUGAGACUGGUCCAAUUAGUUUAAAAUCUAUGAUUGUGGCUGGACUCAUCCUUGUUAGAGGAAUGCGUCAUUUCCACAAAUGCGUCCCUUAUCUUCGGCAGCAAUGAACCCACUCCCCCACGCUCGUCGUUCUCAACCCACGUGUGGGCCCACAGGCUGCAGUGCGGCGAACACCGCCGUUGUACCGUACUCCUAUGUUCCCACGUCUACGCUCCCCGGCCGACCAGCGCGGUGAAGUAUGGUCAAACGACCAGCGCGGUGAAGUAUGGUCAAACGACCCCCGCGGCCCACAUGGACGCGGCUGCGGAGGCCGUCACCCAACAGUCGAUUUGACAAAAGGGCCCCUUUAUAACAACAUAUGAUAAGGGCCCGCACUCGCUUCAUCCGGCACGCGUGUAGAGUGAGCGCGAGAAGACGGGCUGUGUAAGAUUAAGCGCACACAUCUGCCGGGAAUUACAUCCCUAAUGGACGCAUCUAAUGAAGGCGCCUCUGCUUGGAGUGAGGUCACUUGAAGGCGCCCGCUGCAAGGGAGAGGGGAGAGAGGGAGGGUUGAGAGAGGAAGUGAAAUCACGGCCUGGGACGAGUGCUCAGAGCCAUCACCCCACUCUCUGCUGAGCGUUUUGCCUUAUUAAAAUUUCUCCUCAAUGCCGGUGCAUUUCCUCCUGCA
Long non-coding RNA from Petromyzon marinus (sea lamprey), 805 nucleotides. RefSeq lists it as uncharacterized. The record is from RefSeq and is a predicted model, not a curated record. Lineage: Eukaryota; Metazoa; Chordata; Hyperoartia; Petromyzontiformes; Petromyzontidae.